Molecule: long non-coding RNA, 224 nt
Organism: Podarcis raffonei (Aeolian wall lizard)
Lineage: Eukaryota; Metazoa; Chordata; Lepidosauria; Squamata; Lacertidae
Exons: 2
Source: RefSeq, a predicted model, not a curated record
CCCAAACUCUGCAGCCCUUCAAUCUUGGUCAACCGAUUGCUCUAGGGUAGUGAUAAAAAUGGAUUAACAUGACAGAACCAGACUUUUCAAGUUAUCCAAAUGUAGCAAGCCUAAGCAAGCAGGGAAGCUGUCCAUCUCUGCCUUGGAUGACAGAGGACUUUUAAUAAAUGUUCCAGUCUGACUUUGCCUGGAAAAGCCCCAAAUUAAACUUCACUGAAAAAGGA